ACUCAAAUGAAUUGACGGGGACUUGCACAAGCGGUGGAUCAUGCGGCUCAAUUCGAUGGCAAACGAAGAACCUCACCAGGGUUUGCACCCAGACGACCGGCUAGGAAACUAGUCUUCCGCAAGGCGGCUGGGCAGGUGAUGCAUGGUCGUCGUCAGUUCGUGGCUUGAGUUGUUCCCUUCAGUGGGGUAACGAACGCAACCCGCGUUGCCUGUUUUAAAUGUCAGGCGAGACUGCCCUCUCACGAGGGAGGAAGGUGCGGAUGACGCCAGAUCAGCAUGUCCCUCUGAUAUCCUGGGCUGCACGCAUGAUACAAUGGGCGCAACAACGAGACGCAAUACGGUAACGUGGAGCAAAUCUUGAAAUGCGCCCCCAGUUCGGAUUGAGGUCUGCAACUCGACCUCAUGAAGCCGGAAUCGCUAGUAAUCGCGGGUCAGCUAUACCGCGGUGAAUACGUUCUCAAGUCUUGUACACACCGCCCGU
RNAcentral lists this ribosomal RNA (481 nucleotides) under uncultured bacterium. RNAcentral's name for it is "partial 16S ribosomal RNA". It matches the Rfam family "Bacterial small subunit ribosomal RNA", at positions 899 to 1397 of the family's 1533-position model. The record is from RNAcentral.